Long non-coding RNA from Herpailurus yagouaroundi (jaguarundi), 432 nucleotides. RefSeq lists it as uncharacterized. The record is from RefSeq and is a predicted model, not a curated record. The transcript has 3 exons. Lineage: Eukaryota; Metazoa; Chordata; Mammalia; Carnivora; Felidae.
CUGGGCGCUCAUGGGAUCACACCCAGGAAGGGAUAAGCCAUGUAUGUCUCCUGAUAAAGGAGGCGGUUACAGGAUUUUUUUUUUUUCUUUUUAAAUAUUAGGCCCAAGGUUACUGGGGAAAAUGACCAAGCCAGCCGGAGACAUGGAGAAGACCCCACCUCCAAGGCAGAGGGGACGCCUCUGCCAGCCCCAGCCCCUUGUCUCCUGUGUCUCCUCGUGUCCGUCCCGGGGAGGGGCUGCUCCCCCUGGACACGGGGCCGUUCACACAGUAAAACAGACACCGACAGACGGGAACCUCCACAGACGUCCCUCGUGGGGAUCGCUGCCUCCGACUCUCGCGGAGAAACUGGUCCCAGACCAUCCCUCCCGGCACAGACAUGUAACAGAAGCCAAGACAGUCGGCCACCUGCAAACCUGUUGUCCGGGGGCAUU